CAUGCCCCGUGGCCACAGCUACAAAUUCCAGUUUUAUCUCUGUUGUGGUUUUGAGCCCAUUUGCUUUUGAUUAUGUUUCAGUUUUGAAAGGAAAAGACAUACACUCCAGCUACCUUUUUUCUUUCUCAGAUGGAGUAAUAAACCUUAUUUAUAGUGGAAUUUGUUUCCUUCCAUGGCGACAGAUUUGAUUUUAUUAUUCUACCUCAUUGCAUUUGAGAUUGCAGCAAGGAGGAAACACAUAAAAGCAUAUCCAUCCCACACUACCUCCCUUGUAGCUGAUUAUAGAAAAAAAAGAUAUAACAAUCUGUUGGUCACCCUGUCCCAUGACAAUUUUUUGCUUAUGACCAACAGAAUUGCACUUUAUGUUCAAAAGAAUUCUUCAUGUGCACCCUGUCAACAAAAGUGGAUGUAAGAUUCAAAGUAUGAGUGCCAACAGUGGCCACAUAUAGUCACAGUGACUUGGGAGACUGAGACAGGAGGACCACUUGAGCCCAGGAGUUCCAGGUCAACCUGGAUAACAUAGUUUGACCCUGUAUCAAAAAGAAGAGAAAAAUCUGAGUGUGGUGGUGUACACCUGUACACUCAGCAGCCUGAGGCAGGAGGAUUGCUGUGAGUUCAAGGCCAACCUGAACUACAUGGUCAGACCCUGUCUCAAAAAACAAAAAAAAAAAAAAAGAAAAAGAAAAGAAAAGAUUCAAAGUACGGCCAACCUCAGCAUGACACCAUAUGUCCAUUUCUUCUAUCACUGAUAGCACUCUUCAAAGCUGCAAUAUGCUUUGCAUAGCAUGAUCAUUUGAGCUGGAAAGUUUGAGCACAAUUUUAAUUUGCUUUUGUGCCUUUCUAUUCAAACCAGGUGAAAACAUGGCCUAACUCCAGUCUGCCGACAUACAUCUUCCAAAAUGUGGGACACCUGCCUCAUUUUCCGAUGUGUAGCAUCUCCCACAGAGUGCACCUGACCUCAGGCUGGCCGAGCGGUGUAGAGGAAUGUUGAGAAGAUGCCCCAGUGGUGCCGAGGUGACAUUUUCAGACAUGUAACAUCUGAAAAUGUGAAUUCACUGUAUGUUUUGGUCACAUCACAUAUUUGUCUGUGUUUGACUUUACUGGGCCAUGGACUGUUCUUGAGAUCUCACAUCUGCUCACUACUUUGUGAUGCCCAUUCAUCUCGGGC
This 1168-nucleotide long non-coding RNA is filed under the name Heterocephalus glaber (naked mole-rat). RNAcentral's name for it is "lncRNA (ENSHGLG00100049921.1)". The record is from RNAcentral. Lineage: Eukaryota; Metazoa; Chordata; Mammalia; Rodentia; Bathyergidae.